GCACUGCUGAGGAGUCCCAUGAUGGGACGAAACGGCCGUCCACUGC
Non-coding RNA from Schistosoma rodhaini, 46 nucleotides. NCBI's taxonomy places the organism in Eukaryota, Metazoa, Platyhelminthes, Trematoda, Strigeidida, Schistosomatidae. The record is from Rfam.